RNAcentral lists this ribosomal RNA (492 nucleotides) under uncultured bacterium. RNAcentral describes it as "partial 16S ribosomal RNA". It matches the Rfam family "Bacterial small subunit ribosomal RNA", at positions 29 to 507 of the family's 1533-position model. The record is from RNAcentral.
AGUGAACGCUGGCGGUAGGCCUAACACAUGCAAGUCGAACGGCAGCACAGUAAGAGCUUGCUCUUACGGGUGGCGAGUGGCGGAUGGGUGAGGAAUACAUCGGAAUCUUCUUUUUCGUGGGGGAUAACGUAGGGAAACUUACGCUAAUACCGCAUACGACCUACGGGUGAAAGCAGGGGAUCUUCGCACCUUUCGCGACUGAUUUAGCCGAUGUCGGAUUAGCUAGUUGGGGGGGUAAAGGCCCACCAAGGCGACGAUCCGUAGCUGGUCUGAGAGGGUGAUCAGCCACACUGGAACUGAGACACGGUCCAGACUCCUACGGGAGGCAGCAGUAGGGAAUAUUGGACAAUGGGCGAAAGCCUGAUCCAGCCAUACCGCGUGGGUGAAGAAGGCCUUCGGGUUGUAAAGCCCUUUUGUUAGGAAAGAAAAGCAGCAGGUUAAUACCCCGCUGUUCUGACGGUACCCAAAGAGUAAGCACCGGCUAACUUCGUG